GACAGAGGGUGCAAACGUUGUUCGGAAUUACUGGGCGUAAAGCGCGUGUAGGCGGCCCUGCAAGUCGGGUGUGAAAUCCCAUGGCUCAACCAUGGAAGUGCACUCGAAACUGAGUGGCUAGAGUACGAAAGAGGGUCGCGGAAUUCCCGGUGUAGAGGUGAAAUUCGUAGAUAUCGGGAGGAACACCGGUGGCGAAGGCGGCGACCUGGGUCGAUACUGACGCUGAUGCGCGAAAGCGUGGGGAGCAAACAGG
Molecule: ribosomal RNA, 253 nt
Filed under: uncultured bacterium
Lineage: Bacteria
Description: partial 16S ribosomal RNA
Rfam family: Bacterial small subunit ribosomal RNA
Source: RNAcentral